GAUGAACGCUGGCGGCGUGCCUAAUACAUGCAAGUCGAGCGAACAGACGAGGAGCUUGCUCCUCUGACGUUAGCGGCGGACGGGUGAGUAACACGUGGAUAACCUACCUAUAAGACUGGGAUAACUUCGGGAAACCGGAGCUAAUACCGGAUAAUAUAUUGAACCGCAUGGUUCAAUAGUGAAAGACGGUUUUGCUGUCACUUAUAGAUGGAUCCGCGCCGCAUUAGCUAGUUGGUAAGGUAACGGCUUACCAAGGCAACGAUGCGUAGCCGACCUGAGAGGGUGGUCGGCCACACUAGAGCUGAGACACGGUCCAGACUCCUACGGGAGGCAGCAGUAGGGAAUCUUCCGCAAUGGGCGAGAGCCUGACGGAGCAACGCCGCGUGAGUGAUGAAGGUCUUCGGAUCGUAAAACUCUGUUAUUAGGGAAGAACAAAUGUGUAAGUAACUAUGCACGUCGUGACGGUACCUAGUCAGAAAGCCACGGCUAACUACGUG
RNAcentral lists this ribosomal RNA (497 nucleotides) under uncultured bacterium. RNAcentral's name for it is "partial 16S ribosomal RNA". It matches the Rfam family "Bacterial small subunit ribosomal RNA", at positions 28 to 507 of the family's 1533-position model. The record is from RNAcentral.